UCUGAUCGAACGAGAGAGAAGAAAGAUAUGUGAUCGACGUCCGGAGAAAAAGCUAGGCUUUCUCAGUCCUCGCUCGCUGCUCUCAAAUUGCAACAGGCAAGGGAGGUUGGGAGUGAUGGGAGCUCACACAACUCUGAUCCCAUUUUACCACAACCCCACCAAUUCUUGCCUUUUUUUGUCUGUUUAUAGGGAGCUUUUGCUGGGGCAUUUGGGGCAGGAAUCGGGUGUAUCUGGUUGAAACCGAAAUACUGGGGCCAAUCUUUUCUUUGUGCAAGUCAGGUUAUCAUGAAGGCUUGAAUAUUUGACUGAGUAGGGGAAGAAAAAAUUCUUACGCAAGUUCAAGUAUCAUUUAGUGCAUAUCUCACCACUCCCCUCAAUGGGAUCAAUACAAGAGGUCAGGUCCCCUGAUCAACCUUGAGAGUCUUGGGGACAAAAUUGAGGGGCUAUUGACUGAAAAUAUACUCAGUAAAGUUUUGUUGAUUGUUAUUUCAAACUGGCCUUUCAACAUCGUCGCCAAGAUGGGCAACUUGCCUUUCAAUCUGCCUUUCAAUCUGGUUGUAUUACUCAUUGGCUUACAGUUAAAUGUGAUAGCAAAAGGAUUUUCUAAGAAUGUUUGUUGUGAACUUUAGGUCAAUUAAUGCCUGGAUGCAAUUCGUUGCAUAUGGAUGUUCAAAGAUAGCAGUCUUCUGGAUUACACUUUAUAAUCCACAGCUUCAGCUCCUACUUUUAACGGUUGUGAUAUUUGUGAGAGACCAUUUCAAAGGACUGAGAAUAAGCAAGAAGUUGCUAGCAAGUUAGUAGAGAAAAAGAAUCGCCUUCAGAAUGGGUGGAGUGAUAAAAUUGCACUGAAUUUUUUUCCGUAUCCCAUCUGGUUUGUUGAAUUGAUUGGGGCAUUUCCAUGUAUCAAAGUAAAUAUUUUGUACGAGAAUUUGUGAACUGUUUUCAUGUAAUAUGUGUACAUACAUAUAAAGAUAAUGAAAAGAAGGUUUUUAUGUUGCUUUUCUA
This is a long non-coding RNA of Prunus persica (peach), 1005 nucleotides long. RefSeq lists it as uncharacterized. The record is from RefSeq and is a predicted model, not a curated record. NCBI's taxonomy places the organism in Eukaryota, Viridiplantae, Streptophyta, Magnoliopsida, Rosales, Rosaceae. The transcript is spliced from 4 exons.